UACGUAGGGUGCGAGCGUUAAUCGGAAUUACUGGGCGUAAAGCGUGCGCAGGCGGUUCGUUAAGUUCGUUGUGAAAGCCCCGGGCUCAACCUGGGAACUGCAAUGGAAACUGGCGGGCUUGAAUGCGGCAGAGGGGGGUGGAAUUCCGCGUGUAGCAGUGAAAUGCGCAGAUAUCAGGAGGAACACCGGUGGCGAAGGCGGGUCUCUGGGCCGAUAUUGACGCUGAGGAGCGAAAGCGUGGGGAGCGAACAGG
This 253-nucleotide ribosomal RNA is filed under the name uncultured bacterium. RNAcentral describes it as "partial 16S ribosomal RNA". It matches the Rfam family "Bacterial small subunit ribosomal RNA", at positions 524 to 776 of the family's 1533-position model. The record is from RNAcentral.